ACAUAACUGAUGCCUCCGCGUAUCGACUUUGUGCGCAUUUUAGCUAUUAUGUGUUCUUUUAAUUAAAAUGAUUCUUUUUAAGAUUCAUCUAUUAAAAAUUUGCUUCGGCAUAAUUUUUUUUGAUGAUCUUGUUACUUUGAGUAAAUUAGAGUGUUCAAAGCAAACAGAUAUAGCAUUUGUGCGUUUGAAUACUACAGCAUGGAAUAACAAAAUUGAACAAGUCAGAAUUUUUUUGUUCUUUUUUCUUAUUUUGGCUUAGUUACGAUUAAUAGGAGUAGCUUGGGGGCAUUUGUAUUCAGAUGUCAGAGGUGAAAUUCUUAGAUUUUCUGGAGACAAACAACUGCGAAAGCAUUUGCCUAAAAUACUUCCAUUAAUCAAGAACGAAAGUUAAGGGAGUGAAGACGAUCAGAUACCGUCGUAAUCUUAACCAUAAACUAUGCCGACUAGGCUUUGGAUGAAAGAUUUUAAAAUAAGAGUUUUUCUUUUCUCUCCGGAGAUUAGAACUCUUAGAUUGCUUCCUUCAGUGCCUUAUGAGAAAUCAAAGUCUUUGGGUUCUGGGGCGAGUAUUCGCGCAAGCGAGAAAGUUAAAAGAAUUGACGGAAGGGCACCACCAGGCGUGGAGCUUGCGGCUUAAUUUGACUCAACACGGGAAAACUCACUAGUUUAAGACAAGAGUAGGAUUGACAGAUUAAUAGCUCUUUCUUGAUUUCUUGGAUGGUGAUGCAUGGCCGUUUUUAGUUCGUGAAUAUGAUUUGUCUGGUUAAUUCCGAUAACGAACGAGAUCUUAACCUGCUAAUUAGCGGCAAAUACGAUAUAUUCUUAUGUAGAAUUGAAUAUAGUGGAUUUGUUAGAUUUUGAAGAAAAUAUUGGAAUUACGUUAAAUGUGAUUCCUUUCCCUUUUCUACUUAAUUUACAUUUCCAUCUAUUUCUUUUUGCGUAUGAAUGUAUUUGCUUGAUUGUAAAGCUUCUUAGAGGAACGAUGUGUG
This 986-nucleotide ribosomal RNA is filed under the name Plasmodium knowlesi. RNAcentral's name for it is "SSU rRNA". It matches the Rfam family "Eukaryotic small subunit ribosomal RNA", at positions 638 to 1428 of the family's 1831-position model. The record is from RNAcentral. Lineage: Eukaryota; Apicomplexa; Aconoidasida; Haemosporida; Plasmodiidae.